GCCCUAGUAGUAUAACUAUUACCAUGGUCUUGUAAACCAUAAAUGAAACACAACCGUUUCCUAAGGCA
Molecule: transfer RNA, 68 nt
Filed under: Priodontes maximus
Lineage: Eukaryota; Metazoa; Chordata; Mammalia; Cingulata; Chlamyphoridae
Description: tRNA-Thr
Source: RNAcentral